This 517-nucleotide ribosomal RNA is filed under the name uncultured fungus. RNAcentral describes it as "eukaryotic LSU rRNA". The stretch from base 59 to 212 matches the Rfam family "5.8S ribosomal RNA". Lineage: Eukaryota; Fungi. The record is from RNAcentral.
ACAAACUUGACGCAGUGUAGAAUGUCUUUUUUCUUUUGCGAUCACACGCAAUCAAUACAACUUUCAACAACGGAUCUCUUGGCUCUCGCAUCGAUGAAGAACGCAGCGAAAUGCGAUACGUAAUGUGAAUUGCAGAAUUCAGUGAAUCAUCGAAUCUUUGAACGCACCUUGCGCCCCUUGGCAUUCCGAGGGGCACACCCGUUUGAGUGUCGUGAAAUUCUCAAAACCCUUUCUUUUUGGUCUUUCGAUCGAAGAAAGGCUUUUGGACUUGGAGGCUUUUUGCUGGUUUCACCUUGAAGCGAGCUCCUCCUAAAUGAAUCAGUGGGGUCCGCUUUGCUGAUCCUUGACGUGAUAAGAUGUUUCUACGUCUUGGGUUUUGGCACUGUCCCUUGGGCACCUGCUUCAAACCGUCUCAUUGACAACGAUGGUGUUCCGGUCACCGCCGCUUCGUCGGCGGGAGGCUUGACCCACAAAUGAACCUUGACCUCAAAUCGGGUGAGACUACCCGCUGAACUUA